GAGAAGAAAGUAAGAAAGAGCACACAGGGGAUGCCUUGGCUCUCAGAGGCGAUGAAGGACGUGAUAAGCUGCGAUAAGCUCCGGGGAUUAGCAAAUAUGAAUUAAUCCGGAGAUUUCCGAAUGGGGAAACCUGGCUAGUUGAAGACUAGUCGCAUUACGAUGCGCAAACCUGCCGAACUGAAACAUCUAAGUAAGCAGAGGAAGAGAAAAUAAUAAUGAUUUCCAAAGUAGUGGCGAGCGAACUGGAAAGAGCCCAAACCAUUUUUGUUACGGCAAAGAUGGGGUUGUAGGACUACAAUGUGGUAUUAAUGAAAUGAAGUGGAACAGGAUGGGAAGCCUGGCAAUAUAGCGUGAGAGCCGCGUACACGUAAGUAACAUUAGCCUAGUAGUAUCCUGAGUACCGCGAGGUCGGAGACGCCUUGUGGGAAUCUGCCGGCACCAUCCGGUAAGGCUAAAUACUCCUGAGAGACCGAUAGUGAACCAGUACCGUGAGGGAAAGGUGAAAAGAACCCCGAACAGGGGAGUGAAAUAGAACCUGAAACUGUGUGCUUACAAGCGGUCGGAGCGUCCAGGUGGCGUGACGGCGUGCCUUUUGCAUAAUGAGCCUACGAGUUACUCUUCUCUGGCAAGGUUAAGUGUUUAAGACACGCAGCCGAAGCGAAAGCGAGUCUGAAUAGGGCGUAUAGUCAGGGGAGGUAGACGCGAAACCUUGUGAUCUACCCAUGGACAGGUUGAAGGUGCGGUAACACGUACUGGAGGACCGAACCGAUAAACGUUGAAAAGUUUCCGGAUGAUCUGUGGGUAGGGGUGAAAGGCUAAUCAAACUGGGAAAUAGCUCGUACUCCCCGAAAUGUUUUUAGGAACAGCGUUGUGGUAAAGUUUUAUAGAGGUAGAGCUACUGAUUGGGUGCGGGGGAGUCAAAUCCUACCAAAUCCAGACAAACUCCGAAUGCUAUAAAAUAUACGCAGCAGUGAGGCCCGGGGUGCUAAGGUCACGGGCCGAGAGGGAAAGAACCCAGACCAUCAGCUAAGGUCCCAAAAUUACUACUAAGUUGAACUAACGAGGUGCGAUUGCACAGACAGCUAGGAUGUUGGCUUGGAAGCAGCCAUUCAUUUAAAGAGUGCGUAACAGCUCACUAGUCGAGCGAUCGUGCAUGGAUAAUAAACGGGCAUCAAGUAGUAUACCGAAGCUAUGGGUAAUAUUAAUAUUACGGUAGGGGAGCAUUCCAGCGGCAGCGAAGAUAUGACGUAAGUUGUGUUGGAGCUUCUGGAAAAGCAAAUGUAGGCAUAAGUAACGAUAAGGCAGGCGAGAAACCUGCCCACCGAAAGGAUAAGGUUUCCUGAUCAACGCUAAUCGGAUCAGGGUUAGUCGGGGCCUAAGGAGAACCCGAAGGGGAAAUUCGAUGGACAACUGGUUAAUAUUCCAGUACUUUUUAUAACUGCGAUGUGGGGACGGAGUAGUGACACUGCCGCGAUCUGACGGAAUAGAUCGUUAAAGACUGUAGGUAUUAGGACUGUAGGCAAAUCCGCAGACCUAGCUGAACGUCGAUAGUA
Molecule: ribosomal RNA, 1553 nt
Filed under: Pedobacter antarcticus
Lineage: Bacteria; Pseudomonadati; Bacteroidota; Sphingobacteriia; Sphingobacteriales; Sphingobacteriaceae
Description: bacterial LSU rRNA
Rfam family: Bacterial large subunit ribosomal RNA
Source: RNAcentral